Molecule: non-coding RNA, 114 nt
Organism: Schistosoma rodhaini
Lineage: Eukaryota; Metazoa; Platyhelminthes; Trematoda; Strigeidida; Schistosomatidae
Source: Rfam
GUUGGUUAUGGUGAUAAAGUACCAAAAGGACCAUUAGGAAAAGUUGUUGGUAGUGUAUGUGCUGUAGCUGGUGUAUUAACAUUAGCUAUUCCAGUACCAAUUAUUACAGAAAAU